Molecule: long non-coding RNA, 4931 nt
Organism: Osmia lignaria (orchard mason bee)
Lineage: Eukaryota; Metazoa; Arthropoda; Insecta; Hymenoptera; Megachilidae
Source: RefSeq, a predicted model, not a curated record
CGUAUCAGACUCCCGCCCGAGCCCGCCCGAUGUUUUCCGGACCGACCCGAAUAGUCGGGCCGCACUUCACUAGUUGGCCGGGGUUUCAAGCCAUAAAAGCAUUUAUGGUAUAUUAAUUCGAAGCCCCAUUGUAAUGAAAAUUGCUACAUAAACUCUCUGCAAAUUAUGGAAAGCUCGGAUGCCAAAAGUGAUUUAUUAUUCUGCGAGGUUGCUGGAAGGCAGAGCUGUUUGUUUCAAACAAGAUAUGUGGCUAAUAAAUUCGGAUUAGGGCGUUCCUGUUGGACACUUUUAUUCCUCUGUUUUUCCCCUAUGGCUGUAAAGUCUUGCUAAUCCAAGAACCCCCUUUAAUUCAAACCCCGUUAAUCCGUAUCUCCAUAGUGCCGUCUCGUUAUUCCAGAUUAACGCAAUAUACACUAUUAUUGUAUUCAUACCUCGUGAAACUUAGACUCCUGGCUUCCUUCGAGUAAAUUAUGGACACCAUAAAUAUGGUGGAAAAUUUGUUUUUUAAUAUCAUUGUAUUUGAUGUUUGAAAUAAUCGUUCUAGGAUGGCGUUUAAUCGCGUUUUAUUUUUAUUGUCAACAACGGAGUCUCAUCUCUCGCCUUGUAUAGGGAAUUGCACGCAAGGGAAAGGCGAAAGGAAACGUCUUAAGAGGCGGAAACGAAGUAAACGGGUCAAAGUAACCCGCAGACUCGAGAGACAACAGUCUCCGGACAAGGUUCUUGUUAUCCACCGUUGAAAAAGAGCGGCGCCUCGUCAAAGGGAUGAUUUCCUCGGAGAAUAAAGUUCUCCAGUUUCAACAGAAACUGAUUUGCCGAGGUCACUUUCUUCCCAGCUGCUUUCUAUUGCCCCUGUGAUUCACUGUUACUCACCGCCCUCUUUCCCGGAGACAAAAGUUUGGUCGCGGGGACAGGAAUGCUCUCGAGGAUUUCACGAAAAGCCGGACGAGCUGAAUUGCAAGGAGAGAAAACUCACUCUGACGACCUCCUCGGCGGUGCACUGGUCCGACAGCGAGGUGAAUCCGCAGAUAUCCGCGAACAGGAUGCUGGAAGAAAGAUUUUCAAAUAGGCUCUCCGUCGACGGCGGUUCACCGUAAUUAAGCGACGGGUGUUAAUUGGAAUUCAUUAGUGGCACGUCGCCCGACUUAACGACCCACUAGUGUCAGCCCCGAGUUACGUUCUAACGUAUGAUGGACGCGCGUGUAUCAGCUUGAUGCAUCAGGGAGUCGAAUAUCUUCGAAUUACUCGCUCUCCAAACAAGGACCCCGCUCACCUGACAUUCUCGUGUCUCUGAAUGUAAAUUUUGUGAAACAUAGUAUCCUUCGGCUUGCCAGCAAUGUCGGCUUUCAUCUCCAUGGCUACGUGUCUGGGUAGCACGCUCAAUAGGAGCCGUUCCUGGAAAAAAAAAUUAGAGGAAGAUUCUUGUUACACUACACCAGCAUGGUAAACAGGAAACGGUGCACUCUUAGCCAGUGAUGGGUUCCCAGCAGCUAAGUAGUAUAGGGGUGGAUAUAAUAAAAUACAUUAUGUGGCCAGAAGAGUAGAUGGAGAUGUCAGAUCCAUAGGGCAGACGAGUAGAUAUGAAAUAGAAUCAUGGAUAAGUGAUAUAGGGAUGGACAGCAUAGAUGGCCAGACAAGUAAUAUAGGGGCGAUUGCCGUGGGUGGUCAGACGCAUUGUCCAGGACCGCACGUGGCCAAGCGAGGGUGCCGUAGGUGGUCUAACGAAAAUAGAAACGAUGGAACCGUAAAUAGUAACGAUUCUAUUUUAUUUACUUCAGAAUAGCCAAUGGUGGCGAAGUUGGACGAACUCCAAGAGUAUUCACGGACACGCGUAGAAUCGUUGCCUGGAUCCCUCCGGUAUUCACAGCAGUCGGUUAAUUAACCCUGUUAUGCAGAGAACUUGUGUUACACUUAAGUACCCGUGGAGACCUAAGAUGUCGAGUGCAUAGUUGUACCUGUUUCAUGUCAGCCAUUUAACAUGGGAAGUACCGAAUCUGUUGAAAGGAAAACUACCAUCACACGUGUAGUUUAGUGUAAACAUGAAAAUCUAUAUCUUUCCAACAGGGCGCCGAAAGCGUUCGUACGGUACCUAGGCCUAGACGCUGUCGCCCCUGAGCCCGCGCGCUAAGCGCGCUCGGAUUGGCCAAGUGUUUUUCCUUAAUAAUUCAAAAACAAAGCUUCAAAUAAUAUUUUCGCAAAGGAAAAUGUUGUUCAGAAUCACGCCUUCUACCACCCCCUUAAAGGACUAACACCCUUUCUGGGGCACCCUGUAUAUAAAUCGCAAAGACGACUGCCCGUGUCACUUUUCAACUCGAGAACUACUGGGGUUAAAGAUACACUUGUUAACGUCAAAGCGCUUUUCAAAGCUAAGAAACGUGUCGGGCUCGUAUGUGUGUCUCAGAGGCCACUUGGUGGUGAGAAUAUGUAGUUCUAGGAAAUUAGAGAGGAUGGCCGAUGCCGCUAUUGCAAUUAGGAUCGUUGACACCUAAGAGUCACGGGUGUUAUGUUUACUGUUCAAUAACGAGGAGUCCGAUUGCCGAUCGUCGAAGAAGGCGCGUGUGGCCGAUGACCCGAAGUCAUGGUACCGUAUGGCACGUGUAAAGAGAUAAAGGUGUUCCCGAAGGAUCUGGACAGAGUGGGGAAGAUGUUCCAUCUCUUGAUAAGAGGAGUAUGAGAGACGGCAUGGCACUUACCCUAGAACCUUUACCGAACGCGGAUUGCGAAGCAAUCACGGAAUAUAGUUAACACACUCUAUACGUCGUUAGAAAGGUCUUAUUGAAACUAACUCAAAACCGUUGCGUUUGCGCGGCCAAGUGGUCGGAGUGAAAAGUUAUAGGAGUUUCCAUUUCCUAUGGAAAGUCUGACGGUCGCCAUUUUAGCUGCGCGCGCAUGCGCCCAAUAGUAUGUAAUGUCUUUGAAAAUGGCUGCGCUGGUACUAUGUGGCGCAUGCGCGCCUAACAACAGUUUUUUCAGACUUUGACGGUGUAUAUUUCAAAAACGCGAAUUUUCUGGGGGACGAGUGGGUCGUACCUAAUGAAAUUAUAAUUUAUAUUAUUAUUAUUAUUAUUAUUAUUAUUAUUAUUGUUGGUUGAGACUAACAGGGCACUCAGUCCUUGGGGACCAUUGUACCAGGGCCACUAGGCAGCCUCCUUACUGGCUGUGCCAGAUAAUUUAUAUAUUAUUAAAUAUUUAUUAAUUAAAUUAAAUUAAUAAAUAUUUAAUACGAAGAGCAGAUGAUUAUUAAAUUAUUAUGUCUUUCUUAAUUGUAACUCUUUGAUGUCUAUCUCACAAUCAGAUGUUAAAUUAUAAUUUCACUAGGUUAGAUUAUUGGACUAUCGUAAAUGAAAAUAUGACAGGCAUUUAGGUUUCGAUGAUGAAAUAUUCAGAUCCCGUCGUCGCUGUUGGAACGCGGCGAGCAAAUCUACGUCGAUUUGGUUUCUCCUAUUACUAAUAUCGAUACAUUACGUGAUCGAGAGUCUGAAAUUGCAGAGGGCCUUUGGUGUGGUUAAUUUAACGCGGAAUAAAUCGAUCAGUCAGCUCGCGAUAAUAGCUUCUGCACACCUGUAUGACGUAAAAUCGAAUCCUUCCUGAUCGGUUAAUGCGCAACGGUCCCCUUUGCCAUUCGAAGUCACGUAGUUCUACGUUAAAUCCGAUGUAGCGUCCAUUACUUCCUGCACUACAUGUUGGAUUUUCUUCUCAAUACUAGAUAACACCGUCCAACACAUUUUAACACUUAUAGUGUUUUGUACGCUGAUUACGAAUCUGCAAACCGUUUAGCUCCUACACGUACAGUUUUUGAGAAAUUUGAUUUUGAAGAAAAAAACAUUUUUCAGAUUUAAACAAAUUUUCUGACAAAUUAAUUUGGUGUCUUUGUUUUUUUUUUUAUUAAUGGCUUAUUUGUAAGAAGUUAUAAGUCAUAUUCUCGCGCCAUUUUUCAAAUUCACAAAAGCGCGGGAAAAUAUUCGAAUUUAAAAUAGUAACUAUGAAAGUGUAAUAUUAAAGGUACCAAAUUAGUUUGUACACCUAAUGAAAGAUAUUGAAAUUCUAUUUACACUAAAAGAUUUUAAUACAUUAAUGCCCGUUUCCUCCAAAGUGGAUCAAUUCAGAGUUCCUGUAAACUGCGUUCUAUUUUGAACGCAGUUUAAUCUUUAGUCAACGUACUUUGCUUUCCAUCAACGCCACCUUUGUUCCGAUCAACUGAACGUAUACCUUAUGCGUGCUAACCCAAACUAUAUUUGUAUCAAGUGAUGUGAUUGGUGCAUAGCAGUGACUAGACUCAGUGACUUGGAUUUGUAGUCACUGUGCAUAGGUAAUGAGCGUGUCAUAACCAGAAAAAAGCAGCAUAACCAAAGUCUGUCUAACCUUAUUUAUUGAAAAUAAUAAGCUUUAAAUUUAAAUUAAAUUGUUUUUUCCAGAGUUUAGAAUACAUUUAAACGAUCAUUGAACGCGGAGGGAGCCCGAUUUGGCGCCAAUUUUUCAGGAUAUUUUCCAAUUUAUCUGAGAAAGUAGAGAUCCAGCGUAAAAUCGAAUGUUGUACAUAUACCGAAUUAGUCAUUAUUGUAUUUAGAUAGACCGGCCUUCUCACUGUAUUAUAAGUCAACCUUUAACGACAAACAUCCCAAGUCUUUCCUUCUACUCCUCAUGACUCAGCCGAGACAGUCAUCUUCAAACUUUGCACUCACGACCUCAUCCCUUACCGAUCACAGGACUCGCAAUAACUCCACUCUCCUAUUUUUCCGAUUCUAUAAAUUACCCAGCACUUUUCCCUCCGAGUCAGAUUUUUCUGAACCGUUUUAAGAACUAGAAUCUACUACCAGCACGGCGAAUAUUGUAUUAAAAAACUUCGUCUGUAUUCCAUUUUGUAAUUGUAAGAAAUAUCACGAGCGGAAUACAACACGAAUUACACCAUGCGAUAGAGCAGACUUUUAUCUUGA